GACAAGGUGAUCCUCGACCUGGGGCGUGUCCGCACGUUCUCUUCUUCCUCCCGACGCCGACGACUUCCCCGAGCUCGUCUCCGAACCAUGGCGCUGCAACCAGUCAGUCAGGAGUUCUAACCCUGUAGCCUUUUGCAUCCCAUCGACUCUCCAGCUCAGCAUUUGCUUCUUCCCGGAUAGGAUCACGAAGUGGU
Lolium rigidum is the source of this 194-nucleotide long non-coding RNA. RefSeq lists it as uncharacterized. The record is from RefSeq and is a predicted model, not a curated record. The transcript is spliced from 3 exons. Lineage: Eukaryota; Viridiplantae; Streptophyta; Magnoliopsida; Poales; Poaceae.